Caenorhabditis elegans is the source of this 154-nucleotide non-coding RNA. The record is from Ensembl. Lineage: Eukaryota; Metazoa; Nematoda; Chromadorea; Rhabditida; Rhabditidae.
AAAACAAGAACAUAAAAUUCAUGGAGGUCUGAACGUAAAUUUUCUACAUUAACCUUAAAGGCGCACACAGAAACUUUUAAAAUCCUGAGUGCACGGCGAGACCAUUUUGUUGGAUUGCUCAUCCCUUUACACUCAUUUCGGAAUAAUUUUUGGA